Molecule: ribosomal RNA, 396 nt
Filed under: uncultured bacterium
Lineage: Bacteria
Description: bacterial SSU rRNA
Rfam family: Bacterial small subunit ribosomal RNA
Source: RNAcentral
GACGAACGCUGGCGGCGUGCUUAACACAUGCAAGUCGAGCGGUAAGGCCCUUUCGGGGGUACACGAGCGGCGAACGGGUGAGUAACACGUGGGUGACCUGCCCUCAGCUCUGGGGUAAGCCUGGGAAACCGGGUCUAAUACUGGAUAUGACUCCAUGACGCAUGUUGUGGGGUGGAAAGCCUUGUGCGGCUGAGGAUGGGCCCGCGGCCUAUCAGCUUGUUGGUGGGGUGAUGGCCUACCAAGGCGACGACGGGUAGCCGGCCUGAGAGGGCGACCGGCCACACUGGGACUGAGACACGGCCCAGACUCCUACGGGAGGCAGCAGUGGGGAAUCUUGCGCAAUGGGCGAAAGCCUGACGCAGCGACGCCGCGUGAGGGAUGACGGCCUGGUGUAAC